This is a long non-coding RNA of Hyaena hyaena (striped hyena), 721 nucleotides long. RefSeq lists it as uncharacterized. NCBI's taxonomy places the organism in Eukaryota, Metazoa, Chordata, Mammalia, Carnivora, Hyaenidae. The record is from RefSeq and is a predicted model, not a curated record. The transcript has 3 exons.
AGCCAGGUCCAUCCGGAAGAGCAGGAGAGCCGUGGCCAGGCUGUGUGGACGUCCUCAGGGGCCCAAACCCCGGACGAGGCGGAGGCCGGGUUCAGCUGGGAGUGGGGUUUGCAGAAUCAGCGCCCAGGGGCCAAUGGAGUGAGACCAGACUGAAGGAGGAUGGAAGAAGGAAGACCAGAGUCCGCCAAACUCUGAAGAGUGGACCGGGAGCACGGACCGGGAGCACGGCCAGGCUCCCAGGCAGCCCCUGGGGUCCCUCCACCCUGGGGGGGGGGGCCCUCCCAGGAGGCCUGUUGUGGGAACUCACACACAGCUGCCGCUGGUGGAGGACCUUCCCGUUCAGCGGCUGGAUGGCGAGCGCCACCUUCUCCAUGGAGCCGAGACCCACAAAGGUGCCAAGGGAAGAGACAGAGCAAGUGUCAGGAAUCGACAGCCUUGAGCCAAAUCCGACGCACCAGCUUCCUGUAACUAAGGUCUUCUUGGAACAGAACCGCACGUGUCACACACUUACAGCCACUUUCAUGCGACACAAGAGAGCACAACAGUCACACUCUGACCCCUUCCGGAAAAGCCGGGCGGCCCGAGCUGUGGGGCCACGGCUCUCACUCAGCUGAGAGUCACCCUCUCUUUCCUCUGAAGCCACCCCUGCGAGGCCCGGCCGGGCCCAGAGGGACAGGACGCGGAUCGCUACGGCUGCUCAUGUUUUAAAAGUUCUGGGGAG